AGUCGUAACAAGGUAUCCGUAGGUGAACCUGCGGAUGGAUCAUUAACAAAGGUGUUUUUGAAGUUGUGUGAACAGUUGGAGGUGGUGGUAUUGGGUGGUACUGGGUGGUAUUGGGUGGUAUUGGGUGUGUUUGUGGGUGGUCUAACCUUGGUCUAACCUUGGUCAACCUCACUCAACCUCACUCAACCUCACUCAACCUCACUCUCCCAACCUCCACCACUCCGUCCCUAUAAUGUAUACAAACUGAUGUCUGCUAGUUUCAAACUAAAACAACUUUUAGCAACGGAUCUCUUGGCUCUC
RNAcentral lists this unclassified non-coding RNA (300 nucleotides) under fungal sp. RNAcentral describes it as "partial internal transcribed spacer region". The stretch from base 1 to 45 matches the Rfam family "Eukaryotic small subunit ribosomal RNA", at positions 1787 to 1831 of the family's 1831-position model. The record is from RNAcentral. Lineage: Eukaryota; Fungi.